AUGUCUUGAGUAUAGAAGCGACGUUUGUGUAGAGUGUCUUAAUUAUAAUCUAAUUUUAAAGGUUUGCAGUUAAAAAAAAUGGAGCAUGAUGAUGGCGAUGUAUCCUGUGCAAAAAGGCAGCGCUUAGAAAACAGCAAAGACACAGACAGAUGCACAGACAAAGAAGACAUACAAGAAGAAAACUCAGCGGACAAUGCCUAUUCGACAGGUCCAGUCAGGGAGGAUGAUGUUGGGAUAACAGAGUACAUCUCAACAUUGCCAGGCUUCUCAGGAAUUCUCAA
This is a long non-coding RNA of Mya arenaria, 281 nucleotides long. RefSeq lists it as uncharacterized. NCBI's taxonomy places the organism in Eukaryota, Metazoa, Mollusca, Bivalvia, Myida, Myidae. The record is from RefSeq and is a predicted model, not a curated record. The transcript has 3 exons.